Molecule: ribosomal RNA, 640 nt
Filed under: uncultured bacterium
Lineage: Bacteria
Description: bacterial SSU rRNA
Rfam family: Bacterial small subunit ribosomal RNA
Source: RNAcentral
UGGCAUGGGCGAAAGCUGACGCUUCACGCCGCGUGCGGGAAGAAGGCUUAGUGGUUGUAAACCGCUUUCAGCAGGGAAGAAAAUGACGGUACCUGCAGAAGAAGGUGCGGCCAACUACGUGCCAGCAGCCGCGGUGACACGUAGGCACCAAGCGUUGUCCGGAUUUAUUGGGCGUAAAGAGCUCGUAGGCGGUUCAGCAAGUCGGGUGUGAAAACUCUGGGCUUAACCCAGAGCCGCCACCCGAUACUGCUGUGACUUGAGUCCGGUAGGGGAGCGGGGAAUUCCUGGUGUAGCGGUGAAAUGCGCAGAUAUCAGGAGGAACACCGGUGGCGAAGGCGCCGCUCUGGGCCGAGACUGACGCUGAGGAGCGAAAGCAUGGGUAGCAAACAGGAUUAGAUACCCUGGUAGUCCAUGCCGUAAACGUUGGGCACUAGGUGUGGGCAUCAACCAACGAUGUCCGCGCCGUCGCUAACGCAUUAAGUGCCCCGACUGGGGAGUACGGUCGCAAGACUAAAACUCAAAGGAAUUGACGGGGGCCCGCACAAGCAGCGGAGCGUGUUGCUUAAUUCGAUGCUACGCGAAGAACCUUACCUAAGUUUGACAUGUACGGAAUAGCCACAGAAGAAGUGGUGCCCUUCGG